This 180-nucleotide small nuclear RNA is filed under the name Hordeum vulgare. Its description in RNAcentral is "U1 spliceosomal RNA". It matches the Rfam family "U1 spliceosomal RNA". From Rfam's summary of the family: U1 is a small nuclear RNA (snRNA) component of the spliceosome (involved in pre-mRNA splicing). Its 5' end forms complementary base pairs with the 5' splice junction, thus defining the 5' donor site of an intron. Lineage: Eukaryota; Viridiplantae; Streptophyta; Magnoliopsida; Poales; Poaceae. The record is from RNAcentral.
AUACUUACCUGGACGGGGUCAACAGCCGAUCAAGAAAGGUUGUGGCCUCGAUUAAUGACUCACAUUGCACUUGGUGAGUGCUUUGGUCUACCAUCUCCCCAAGUGGGAGAGUGGACGUCAUAAGGGAGAGUGGACGUCAUAAUUUGUGAUAGAGGGGGUACGCGUCCGCACGGCCCCUGC